This 77-nucleotide transfer RNA is filed under the name Microcaldota archaeon. Its description in RNAcentral is "tRNA-Met". It matches the Rfam family "tRNA". From Rfam's summary of the family: Transfer RNA (tRNA) molecules are approximately 80 nucleotides in length. Their secondary structure includes four short double-helical elements and three loops (D, anti-codon, and T loops). Lineage: Archaea; Nanobdellati; Microcaldota. The record is from RNAcentral.
GGCGAGGUAGCUCAGCCUGGUUUAGAGCGCUAGACUCAUAAUCUAGAGGUUCGCGGGUUCAAAGCCCGUCCUCGCCA